RNAcentral lists this ribosomal RNA (455 nucleotides) under uncultured bacterium. RNAcentral's name for it is "bacterial SSU rRNA". It matches the Rfam family "Bacterial small subunit ribosomal RNA", at positions 34 to 479 of the family's 1533-position model. The record is from RNAcentral.
GAAUUCACUAGUGAUUCAGGCCUAACACAUGCAAGUCGAACGGUAACAGGUCUUCGGAUGCCUGACGAGUGGAGAACGGGUGAGUAAUACAUCGGAACGUGCCCGAUCGUGGGGGAUAACGAAGCGAAAGCUUUGCUAAUACCGCAUAAGAUCUAUGGAUGAAAGCAGGGGACCGCAAGUCCUUGCGCGAACGGAGCGGCCGAUGGCAGAUUAGGUAGUUGGUGGGAUAAAAGCUUACCAAGCCGACGAUCUGUAGCUGGUCUGAGAGGAAGACCAGCCACACUGGGAGUGAGACACGGCCCAGACUCCUACGGGAGGCAGCAGUGGGGAAUUUUGGACAAUGGGCGAAAGCCUGAUCCAUCCAGGCCGCGUGCAGGAUGAAGACCUUCGGGUUGUAAUAUGAAGGGUACGGAACGAAAAGACUCUGGUUAAUACCUGGGGUCCAUGACGGUACC